CCUACGGGUGGCAGCAGUGGGGAAUAUUGGACAAUGGGGGCAACCCUGAUCCAGCCAUGCCGCGUGUGUGAAGAAGGCCCUCGGGUUGUAAAGCACUUUCAGUGAGGAAGAACGCCUGGUGGUUAAUACCCAUCAGGAAAGACAUCACUCACAGAAGAAGCACCGGCUAACUCCGUGCCAGCAGCCGCGGUAAUACGGAGGGUGCGAGCGUUAAUCGGAAUUACUGGGCGUAAAGCGCGCGUAGGUGGCUUGAUAAGCCGGUUGUGAAAGCCCCGGGCUCAACCUGGGAACGGCAUCCGGAACUGUCAAGCUAGAGUGCAGGAGAGGAAGGUAGAAUUCCCGGUGUAGCGGUGAAAUGCGUAGAGAUCGGGAGGAAUACCAGUGGUGAAGGCGGCCUUCUGGACUGACACUGACACUGAGGUGCGAAAGCGUGGGUAGCAAACAGGAUUAGAUACCCCUGUAGUC
Molecule: ribosomal RNA, 465 nt
Filed under: Vreelandella stevensii
Lineage: Bacteria; Pseudomonadati; Pseudomonadota; Gammaproteobacteria; Oceanospirillales; Halomonadaceae
Description: partial 16S ribosomal RNA
Rfam family: Bacterial small subunit ribosomal RNA
Source: RNAcentral